Molecule: long non-coding RNA, 385 nt
Filed under: Pan troglodytes (chimpanzee)
Lineage: Eukaryota; Metazoa; Chordata; Mammalia; Primates; Hominidae
Description: lincRNA
Source: RNAcentral
UGUGGACUUCAACUCUGACAAGUCUGAAUCCCAGUGGAAACGCAAGUUAGCCUCAAACUGAGAACCUCAUACUACAUUCAGAAUAUGUUUUCAUCUUUCCAAAAUGUCACCAACAAUGAGAUGAGAGGAACCUGAACCAAAAGGAUGAGAGUAGAGAUGGAAAGUAAAUGUUGUUACAAAGGCUAAAUCAGAAAUUUGUCCCAGAUCUAGUAUGGAUCAUGAAGAAGAAGACAGAAUGAAAGAACACUCUUACCAUUCUGAGUGCCGAAAGCAGGAGGUGGUUCCUAAAAAUAUGAAGUUUGGGUAUCCUAUAAAAUGAGAGAAGAAUGUCUAUCUUCAUUAUGUUCCAGUACCCAGAUAAAUGAACCUGCUGUUCUAAGGGGGA